This 73-nucleotide transfer RNA is filed under the name Candidatus Pacearchaeota archaeon. RNAcentral's name for it is "tRNA-Glu". It matches the Rfam family "tRNA". From Rfam's summary of the family: Transfer RNA (tRNA) molecules are approximately 80 nucleotides in length. The record is from RNAcentral. Lineage: Archaea; Nanobdellati.
GCCCCUUUCGUCUAGUGGUCAAGGACUCAGCCUUCUCAAGGCUGCGACCCGGGUUCGAAUCCCGGAGGGGGCA